Long non-coding RNA from Gallus gallus (chicken), 196 nucleotides. RefSeq lists it as uncharacterized. The transcript is spliced from 2 exons. The record is from RefSeq and is a predicted model, not a curated record. NCBI's taxonomy places the organism in Eukaryota, Metazoa, Chordata, Aves, Galliformes, Phasianidae.
GACGACUCCGAGCGGAUCGACGUUGACCCGCACCGCCUCGUCCCGUGAGGCGGCCCGAACCGCCGCGGAGCGGCCGCUGCCCUCGGGGGAGCCGUGCGGGGAAGCGGGGCGGCGCUGAGCUUCGGGAGCGAGGAGGAGGAGCGGGAAGGAUGGCAUCGUUGCAGGAUGUGCCCCGUGCCCACCAGAGGGAGUAUGA